GAGUCUAGGUGUAAAUUUGGGCCUUUGGGGCCUAUAGGUUGUUUCCAAAGCUCCUAAUCCAUGAUUAAGUCUAAAACGUCGAGAAACCCUAACCCUAAUUUACUAUCCUUAUAUUUAGUUUUUCUCUCCACCCUACAUUUCUCCGUAUGUCGUCUUCUGCAGCUUGUGUUUCUCUAUUCAGGGUGGAACACAGUUUUUGUAAUUCGAAGUGUUUUUCUUUUAUGCCUCUUUUUUAAAAAAGAAAUCUGGUAGGAAUGGUAAAGCAAGUCAGCUUCUUGGUUGGGUGUAGAUGGAAACGAACGACCCACUCAAUCAAAUACUUGAAAUAUACUUGCGACAUGUAAACUCAGCCAGUAUCACUCACCUGAAUCUCAUCAUUGUUUCUUGAUUUUCAGGCCCUUUUCCUACUGGCAUAUUCUCUUUCUCUUCAUCCCAGAUACGUCUCUUUUUGCCUCUCCCUUCGUUUCAUUUUUUUUGUUAUUUGAAAAGUAAUCUUUGGCAAACGCACUCUGUCCCAAAGCUGUUGUAAAAGACAUAUUUGUUUUGAGGCAAUUUCUUCGUUUGCUAUAUCAUCAAUUUAAUUGAUUUCUAAUAUACUCGUCCAGUAGAUCCCUCUUCGGUGAUCUUUUUGGGCACAUGGUUGGAAUACAUUUUCCGAUUUUUCCUUCGACCAAAUAAAUUGCAUUUUUGCUUUUUGUAAAGAGAUUUCAACUUGAAUUCUCAAGACUUAUUAUUAUUAUUUUUUGGGUAUGUUUUUCUUAAAAUCCUGACUUGAAUCAAGACCGGAUAGUAAUUUCUGAUAAAGCUGGAGGGAAAUAUAUUCUCAUAUUUCUAGAUAGAAAAUGGGAACUUCGAGAUCUUGUCUAAUAAUGCUAGAAAAAUUUCAGGUAAAAAAAUGUCGAGACCUAAUACCCACGUAAAAGACGAAUCAAUCUUUCAAGUUCUAAGCAUUAUUGCUUCAUAUUAUCAACAUUCUCUUGCGAAUUCUGUCUUGCAAUUUGAAAAGCCUCAAAUAUUUAUAAAUCAACUGUUGUUUUGUACUAUAAAUAUAAAUCAAGACGAUGUAAUCCAAUUAUUCAUUCCUCAUCUUUCUUGAGACAAAUCUCUUAUCUUCAAAAAAAUGAAAAAAAAAAAAAAAAGAGUUUUAAACACAGCGCUUAGAGUUAGCUUUUCGUAUUUCACAAAAAAUACAUUGUUUUAGUAAAGAAAAAAGUUUGAAAAAAAAAAAAAAAGGGAGGCGGGUUGACUUGAAUCAGAAUCAAGCCGGAUCCAUCCAAGUCCAAUUUGAAUUGGUUUUUGGAUCAAAUUCUAUAAUUAUUGAGAUGCAUGACUCGUUUCUAUAUUUUACAAUUUGGCUAUUUUAUUUUUGUAUAUAAUUUAUUUUAUUUACUUCAAAAAGUAAAGAAUAAUAAAAAAUAAGAAAAAUUAAAUUAUUGUUUGACUAAAUUGAAUUAGGAAAGAAACUAAGAAAAGAAAGAAUGAGUGAGGGCAAAAUUCUAUUUGUUCUAAGGUAUGCUUAUAUAAAAUCAUUUCAAUAGAUAUGAAUAUAAAUCAUGAAUAAAAUUUUG
This 1568-nucleotide long non-coding RNA is filed under the name Durio zibethinus. RNAcentral's name for it is "long non-coding RNA (DZIB_LNC000979)". The record is from RNAcentral. Lineage: Eukaryota; Viridiplantae; Streptophyta; Magnoliopsida; Malvales; Malvaceae.